RNAcentral lists this ribosomal RNA (262 nucleotides) under uncultured bacterium. RNAcentral's name for it is "partial 16S ribosomal RNA". It matches the Rfam family "Bacterial small subunit ribosomal RNA", at positions 92 to 353 of the family's 1533-position model. The record is from RNAcentral.
CGACCGGCGCACGGGUGAGUAACACGUAUCCAACCUGCCGUCUACUCUUGGACAGCCUUCUGAAAGGAAGAUUAAUACAAGAUGGCAUCAUGAGUCCGCAUGUUCACAUGAUUAAAGGUAUUCCGGUAGACGAUGGGGAUGCGUUCCAUUAGAUAGUAGGCGGGGUAACGGCCCACCUAGUCUUCGAUGGAUAGGGGUUCUGAGAGGAAGGUCCCCCACAUUGGAACUGAGACACGGUCCAAACUCCUACGGAGGCAGCAUG